This is a long non-coding RNA of Teleopsis dalmanni, 819 nucleotides long. RefSeq lists it as uncharacterized. The transcript has 3 exons. NCBI's taxonomy places the organism in Eukaryota, Metazoa, Arthropoda, Insecta, Diptera, Diopsidae. The record is from RefSeq and is a predicted model, not a curated record.
UUUUUUUUACAUUUUAAUUGUACACGGCUGACAUUAAAUUGUGUAUUGUUAGAAGAAAAUCAAUUAGCAUGGAAAACGCAGAAAAUUUAAAUAAUUUAAUACAUAAUGUUUGUGAUAUUGUUUACAAUUUGAAUGCAGCAGUGGUUGCAUAUAGAAAAGAACACACAAUAAUUUAUCAAAAAUUACAAAUUAUUCAAAAACAACAAAUAACAACGCUCUAUUCAAUGGUUACUUGAAACCAAAGGAGGUGCUGGACUUUGAAAAUGAUGAAGAAGUUCUGGAAACAAGAUUGACAAAAAAAAUGGUUCUAAGUUUUUUUAAGAAAAUUUCGCAUUAAGCAGCGAAAGUGUAAAAGAGUGCAUUACCGGAUCAGAAGUCUUGAGUCGUUAUAUAAAGAAUAAAUUUCUUUUUGAAACAAAUAUGCGAGGUGUAUGUUGAUCAUCGAUCUAAAUAAUUAACAUAUUUAAAAUAAAAAUGGUUCGGUAGUUGAAGUGAGAUGCUAUGAUCUGAUUUAUGAUUAAAAUUCCAACAUCCCUACUUGAUAGAGGAAAGCCGAACUCUAGAUGGUGGUUAAGAUUAAAGCAAAUAUAGUCAAUUGAAGUAGGAACUGAACUAUUCUAUGUUCUAUGUCAAUUCUAGAGCAGUAGGUGGAAGUAUUAAAUCUGUUUGCAAAUAAUUUAGCCUUUAGCACCUUGACGUUUUGUUUAACGAAAAACCAAUUUUUUUUAAUAAAGAUGAGCCUCAACAACGAAAAACUGUGUUUGAUUUAGAGAAUUAACAUAAUGUAUAUACUUUUCUAACACAAAAAGAAACUAUUGA